Molecule: ribosomal RNA, 202 nt
Filed under: uncultured Lactobacillus sp.
Lineage: Bacteria; Bacillati; Bacillota; Bacilli; Lactobacillales; Lactobacillaceae
Description: partial 16S ribosomal RNA
Rfam family: Bacterial small subunit ribosomal RNA
Source: RNAcentral
UAGCUAAUACCGGAUAACAACAGAUGAUGCCUAUCAACUGUUUAAAAGAUGGUUCUGCUAUCACUCUUGGAUGGACCUGCGGUGCAUUAGCUAGUUGGUAGGGUAACGGCCUACCAAGGCGAUGAUGCAUAGCCGAGUUGAGAGACUGAUCGGCCACAUUGGGACUGAGACACGGCCCAAACUCCUACGGGAGGCAGCAGAC